CCUACGGGUGGCAGCAGUGGGGGAUAUUGCACAAUGGGGGGAACCCUGAUGCAGCGACGCCGCGUGGGUGAAGAAGCGCCUCGGCGCGUAAAGCCCUGUCAGCAGGGAAGAAAAUGACGGUACCUGAAGAAGAAGCCCCGGCUAACCGCGUACCAGCAGCCGCGGUAAUACGUAGGGGGCAAGCGUUAUCCGGAUUUACUGGGGGGAAAGGGGGCGCAGACGGCGAUGAAAGCCAGGAGUGAAAGCCCGGAGGCCAACCCCGGGACUGCUCUUGAAACUGCGUGGCUGGAGUGCAGGAGGGGAAGGUGGAAUUCCUGGUGUAGCGGUGAAAUGCGUAGAUAUCAGGAGGAACACCGGUGGCGAAGGCGGCCUGCUGGACUGCAACUGACGUUGAGGCCCGAAAGCGUGGGGAGCAAACAGGAUUAGAUACCCGUGUAGUC
RNAcentral lists this ribosomal RNA (440 nucleotides) under uncultured bacterium. RNAcentral's name for it is "partial 16S ribosomal RNA". It matches the Rfam family "Bacterial small subunit ribosomal RNA", at positions 338 to 795 of the family's 1533-position model. The record is from RNAcentral.